This 492-nucleotide ribosomal RNA is filed under the name uncultured bacterium. RNAcentral's name for it is "partial 16S ribosomal RNA". It matches the Rfam family "Bacterial small subunit ribosomal RNA", at positions 29 to 507 of the family's 1533-position model. The record is from RNAcentral.
AGUGAACGCUGGCGGUAGGCCUAACACAUGCAAGUCGAACGGCAGCACAGUAAGAGCUUGCUCUUACGGGUGGCGAGUGGCGGACGGGUGAGGAAUACAUCGGAAUCUACUUUUUCGUGGGGGAUAACGUAGGGAAACUUACGCUAAUACCGCAUACGACCUACGGGUGAAAGCAGGGGAUCUUCGGACCUUGCGCGAUUGAAUGAGCCGAUGUCGGAUUAGCUAGUUGGCGGGGUAAAGGCCCACCAAGGCGACGAUCCGUAGCUGGUCUGAGAGGAUGAUCAGCCACACUGGAACUUAGACACGGUCCAGACUCCUACGGGAAGCAGCAGUUGGGAAUAUUGGACAAUGGGCGGAAACCUGAUCCAGCCAUACCGCGUGGGUGAAGAAGGCCUUCGGGUUGUAAAGCCCUUUUGUUGGGAAAGAAAAGCAGCAGGUUAAUACCCCGCUGUUCUGACGGUACCCAAAGGAUAAGCACCGGCUAACUUCGUG